RNAcentral lists this non-coding RNA (28 nucleotides) under Homo sapiens (human). The record is from RNAcentral. Lineage: Eukaryota; Metazoa; Chordata; Mammalia; Primates; Hominidae.
UCUCAGUGAUAGUGCUCUAGGUGGUUAA